UUGUGCCAGCCGCCGCGCUAAUACGAAGGGGGCUAGCGUUGUUCGGAAUCACUGGGCGUAAAGAGCGUGUAGGCGGACCAUCAAGCUAGGGGUGAAAGCCCGGGGCUCAACCUCGGAACUGCCUUUAGAACUGGUGGUCUAGAGUCUUGGAGGGGAGUGUGGAAUUCCUAAUGUAGAGGUGAAAUUCGUAGAUAUUAGGAGGAACACCAGCGGCGAAGGCGGCACUCUGGACAAGUACUGACGCUGAGACGCGAAAGUGGGGUAGCAAACAGGACUAGAUACCCUGGUAGUCCACGCCGUAAACGAUGGGUGCUAGCCGUCGGGGCUUCGCUUCGGUGGCAAAGCUAACGCAUUAAGCACCCCGCCUGGGAACUACGAUCGCAAGAUUAAAACUCAAAGGAAUUGACGGGGACCCGCACAAGCGGUGGAGCAUGUGGUUUAAUUCGAGGCAACGCGAAGAACCUUACCAGGGCUUGACAUGCCUCUCGCGGAUUCCAGAGAUGGUUUCCUUCAGCUUGGCUGGAGAGUGCACAGGUGCUGCACGGCUGUCGUCAGCUCGUGUCGUGAGAUGUUGGGUUAAGUCCCGCAACGAGCGCAACCCUCGUCCUUAGUUACUACCAUUUAGUUGAGGACUCUAAGGAAACUGCCGGAGUUAAUCCGGAGGAAGGUGGGGAUGACGUCAAGUCUUCAUGGCCCUUACGUCCUGGGCUACACACGUGCUACAAUGGCGGUGACAAUGGGCUGCGACUCAGCAAUGAGGAGCCAAUCCCUAAAAGCCGCCUCAGUUCGGAUUGCGGGCUGCAACUCGCCCGCAUGAAGUCGGAAUCGCUAGUAAUCGCAGAUCAGCAUGCUGCGGUGAAUACGUUCCCG
This 870-nucleotide ribosomal RNA is filed under the name uncultured Pseudomonadota bacterium. RNAcentral's name for it is "bacterial SSU rRNA". It matches the Rfam family "Bacterial small subunit ribosomal RNA", at positions 503 to 1376 of the family's 1533-position model. The record is from RNAcentral. Lineage: Bacteria; Pseudomonadati; Pseudomonadota.